AAGCAAUGAUGAAAAUCUUUUUGUGCCAUAGCCGGCCUCUUUCCAGUGGUCGUCGGUGAUGGCUACACAUCCCUCUAAGAAGUUCUGAGCUU
This 92-nucleotide small nucleolar RNA is filed under the name Cucumis melo (muskmelon). RNAcentral describes it as "Small nucleolar RNA U61". It matches the Rfam family "Small nucleolar RNA U61". Lineage: Eukaryota; Viridiplantae; Streptophyta; Magnoliopsida; Cucurbitales; Cucurbitaceae. RNAcentral also lists the same sequence under 1 other name. The record is from Rfam by way of RNAcentral.